AAUCCAUGAUGCGGACAUUAGCUUUGAAGAUCCUUGAAUCUCUCCUAGGCUUCGUACAACGUCUCGUCUUCCUUCAUUCAAAAAUUGGAUAUUUCUUUUCUCAGCCU
Molecule: non-coding RNA, 107 nt
Organism: Jatropha curcas
Lineage: Eukaryota; Viridiplantae; Streptophyta; Magnoliopsida; Malpighiales; Euphorbiaceae
Source: Rfam